RNAcentral lists this long non-coding RNA (274 nucleotides) under Elaeis guineensis (African oil palm). RNAcentral's name for it is "long non-coding RNA (EGUI_LNC019178)". The record is from RNAcentral. Lineage: Eukaryota; Viridiplantae; Streptophyta; Magnoliopsida; Arecales; Arecaceae.
GCCUGCUAUCGAUCCUCGACAGCCUGUCUCUGCACUUCCAUCAGUCGAGCCUGGCAUGCAGAAUGGAUCUCAGCCCUAGAUGAUCAUGAGGAUGAAGGAGUAGUGAUCCCAUGUCCUAGACCCCUAACAUAACAGGGUCUCGUACCGAGCAUUCGAUCACAGAUCUUAUCAUCUGUGGGUGCGAUCGAGCCCUCAGGGGUAGGUUGGGAUCUCAUGUCGGUCAUACGAUCCUGAAAAUAAAAAUUAAAGUUAUUUUAAUUUUUUAAUAAAAAUC